AUGAACGCUAGCUACAGGCUUAACACAUGCAAGUCGAGGGGCAGCAUUAUCGAAGCUUGCUUUGAUAGAUGGCGACCGGCGCACGGGUGAGUAACGCGUAUCCAACCUUCCCCAUAGUCAGGAAUAGCCCGGCGAAAGUCGAAUUAAUGCCUGANGUUUUCCACGGACGGCAUCUGAUGUGGAACAAAGAUUCAUCGCUAUGGGAUGGGGAUGCGUCUGAUUAGCUUGUUGCGGGGUAACGGCCCACCAAGGCAACGAUCAGUAGGGGUUCUGAGAGGAAAGCCCCCCACAUUGGAACUGAGACACGGUCCAAACUCCUACGGGAGGCAGCAGUGAGGAAUAUUGGUCAAUGGGCGAGAGCCUGAACCAGCCAAGUAGCGUGCAGGAUGACGGCCCUAUGGGUUGUAAACUGCUUUUAUGCGGGGAUAAAGCGGGCGACGUGUCGCCCCUUGCAGGUACCGCAUGAAUAAGGACCGGCUAAUUCCGUG
RNAcentral lists this ribosomal RNA (488 nucleotides) under uncultured bacterium. Its description in RNAcentral is "bacterial SSU rRNA". It matches the Rfam family "Bacterial small subunit ribosomal RNA", at positions 29 to 507 of the family's 1533-position model. The record is from RNAcentral.